GAUGAAGAACGCAGCGAAAUGCGAUAAGUAGUGUGAAUUGCAGAAUUCAGUGAAUCAUCGAAUCUUUGAACGCACAUUGCGCCCUGUGGUAUUCCGCAGGGCAUGCCUGUUCGAGCGUCAUUGACACCCUCAAGCUCUGCUUGGUCUUGGGCGUUUGUGCCUGCCGUUGCGCAGGGACUCGCCUCAAACUCAUUGGCAGCCUGCCUUUGCCGGUCUUUGCACAGCACAGUCGUGCCAAAGCCGCGGUGAGCAGGCGCUCCACAAGCCCUUUUCAGCUUGACCUCGGAUCAGGUAGGAAUACCCGCUGAACUUAAGCAUAUCAAUAAGCGGAGGA
This 334-nucleotide unclassified non-coding RNA is filed under the name soil metagenome. RNAcentral describes it as "partial contains 5.8S ribosomal RNA, internal transcribed spacer 2, and large subunit ribosomal RNA". The stretch from base 1 to 120 matches the Rfam family "5.8S ribosomal RNA", at positions 35 to 154 of the family's 154-position model. The record is from RNAcentral.